RNAcentral lists this long non-coding RNA (838 nucleotides) under Populus tremula. RNAcentral's name for it is "long non-coding RNA (PTRE_LNC000185)". Lineage: Eukaryota; Viridiplantae; Streptophyta; Magnoliopsida; Malpighiales; Salicaceae. The record is from RNAcentral.
UAAUUGCAAUUAAAGACAACAAACCAUGCACAUAUAUUCUUAAAAUUUGUAAGAGAAAAAAAACACACACACACACAUCCAUUUUUACUAUACUCCACUAACACAUCAUUUUUUUUACAUGAUACAAUUCAUAAAUUGUAAAAUAGACCCCUAAAUAUUUAGGAAUUGCAUAGGAAUACUUCUGAGAAUGCAGGAAUAAUGGCAGCGCGUCUGCUCCAAGAAAAUGUUGGGAUCUGAAAUUGCUUCUUCUCUUCUACCCUUCUUUGCCAGCGGUGAUGCCAUGGCCUGUGAAAAACAAUGAAAUUGCAACAAAAACAAUUUGAUUUGUUUUUUUUUUUGUUAGAUCUGCUUUUUUUUUCCCUUCAGAUUUGCCAAUUCUAGAGACGGGCUUUGUUGCACUCAUCGUUGACAGACAGGCGUGUGGAUAACUAGAUCGACAACUUUCCUCCUCCUACUUUAUUUUUACUCUGGCGGUGUCAUCCAACGCUCUCAUGGUUGGGAGAUCGGUGCCCUUAAAGUCUCGGUUUUCUACUCUUUACUGUCCUUUGGCCUCCUCUCUGAUUUCUCCAUCUUCUUUGUAUUGAGCUGUUGUUAGCAGCGAAGAGGAAGGGAGAGUGAAGGGACUGGCUCAACUUGUUCUCUGGUUAGGAGAAGACAAGGUUGUUUUAUGGGGAAAGACCGAGGAGGUAAGGUGCUCUGGUAAAGGGUAAGAAAGGGCCAGGAGGUGGUUUGUGGAGGUUAAGCUAAAGAGAUGGAAAGUCUAGUGAUGGCGGGCUAUGGGUAAGAGAAGAAGCCUGCAUUGUGGAGGCAGUGAGAGGGAAAGGAGCGGGGAUGGUUG